Long non-coding RNA from Salvia miltiorrhiza (redroot sage), 339 nucleotides. RefSeq lists it as uncharacterized. NCBI's taxonomy places the organism in Eukaryota, Viridiplantae, Streptophyta, Magnoliopsida, Lamiales, Lamiaceae. The transcript has 3 exons. The record is from RefSeq and is a predicted model, not a curated record.
AUGUUGCAACUGGAAGUGAAAAGGUUCAAGGCGACAAUGUUAGUGACGUUGUCGUUGCUCGGAAGGAGGUCAGACGUUCUAACAGGGUUAAGGGAAACUUGGUGGGUGAUGCCGGAAAGCAUCUGCUUCGUCCUACCACAACAAAGACAGGGGUAAAGGUGGCAUACCCUGUGAAGAAAGCAAAAAAAUAAUUCGAUAUGGUUGUAUGUUAAUUAAAUAAUUUUAGCAGGUUGACGAGAACUCCAAAACAAUAGAUGUGGUGGAUCGGUUAGCAUUACAGGCCAUUGACACAAACAUUAUUAGUCCAGAAAGACGUGAGACUAAAGCACCCAAGCAGAG